RNAcentral lists this ribosomal RNA (301 nucleotides) under uncultured bacterium. RNAcentral's name for it is "partial 16S ribosomal RNA". It matches the Rfam family "Bacterial small subunit ribosomal RNA", at positions 509 to 807 of the family's 1533-position model. The record is from RNAcentral.
CAGCCGCCGCGGUAAUACGAAGGGUGCAAGCGUUACUCGGAAUUACUGGGCGUAAAGCGUGCGUAGGUGGUGGUUUAAGUCCGUUGUGAAAGCCCUGGGCUCAACCUGGGAAUUGCAGUGGAUACUGGAUCACUAGAGUGUGGUAGAGGAUAAUGGAAUUUCCGGUGUAGCAGUGAAAUGCGUAGAGAUCGGAAGGAACAUCUGUGGCGAAGGCGACUAUCUGGGCCAACACUGACACUGAGGCACGAAAGCGUGGGGAGCAAACAGGAUUAGAUACCCCUGUAGUCCCUGUCUCUUAUAC